RNAcentral lists this long non-coding RNA (260 nucleotides) under Setaria viridis. RNAcentral's name for it is "long non-coding RNA (SVIR_LNC001353)". Lineage: Eukaryota; Viridiplantae; Streptophyta; Magnoliopsida; Poales; Poaceae. The record is from RNAcentral.
GUAACAAUUGAAGGCAUGCAUAAGCUUGUCCACGGAUAACAACACUGUAGGAACGGCCUCUUGGACGUUCCUGAGAUCCAUCCGUCUUUUCAAGUACCCUACUAUACCUGCUCGUUCUACCUGCCUUCUGAAGAAGAGACCAACACCCAACAGUGGAACCCGAGUCCAAAGCCAAAAAGGCACACAGGUUAUGCAAGCUAACAUUCUAUUUCCUAAUGCUUCCCAAUCCCAUAUAGCUUGUUUUCCAAUCCCUGUGUUGU